UUGCUUCAGCAACACAUAGACUACAAUUGGAACGAUACAGAGAAGAUUAGCAUGGCCCCUGCACAAGGAUGACACGCAAAUUCGUGAAGCAUUCCAUAUUUAA
RNAcentral lists this small nuclear RNA (103 nucleotides) under Cercocebus atys (sooty mangabey). Lineage: Eukaryota; Metazoa; Chordata; Mammalia; Primates; Cercopithecidae. The record is from RNAcentral.